UACGGAGGGUGCGAGCGUUGUCCGGAAUCAUUGGGCGUAAAGGGCGCGUAGGUGGCCCGGUCAGUCUUUGGUGAAAGCGCGGGGCUCAACCCUGCGUCGGCCAGGGAUACUGCCGCGGCUGGAGCACUGUAGAGGCAGGCGGAAUUCCGGGUGUAGCGGUGGAAUGCGUAGAGAUCCGGAAGAACACCGGUGGCGAAGGCGGUCUGCUGGGCCAAGACUGACGCUGAGGCGCGACAGCGUGGGGAGCAAACAGG
Molecule: ribosomal RNA, 254 nt
Filed under: uncultured bacterium
Lineage: Bacteria
Description: partial 16S ribosomal RNA
Rfam family: Bacterial small subunit ribosomal RNA
Source: RNAcentral